AAGGAUCUCUUCCUGGAGGUAGCUUCCUGUGGAGUUUUUGUGAGCCUACAACACCACUGAGAGGAAGUCUGGCCUAUAAAGGGAAGACAAGGUGACACAUCUCUGUUUUCUUCCAUCAAGCUUGGAGAGCCAUGAAGGUGGCUUCGUACUGCUGUUUGUCUUGUUUCUACAACACCUUCUUUUCAUCUACUGGGCAUGGUAAUGAAAGCCUACUUGGGAAUGGUACUUGAAAAACCAAAAAGCAGACCAUCCCAGCUGACACCAGAAACACCAAUGCGCAGAAGAGGGAUAAUGGCAGCACUGACCUCUUGUGAGGCUGCACUGAUCUACAUGGGCUGAAGAUCCAUCCUCCCAGUCACCUCUGGUAUGCUGCUGGUUAAUGCUAGCAGGGCAUCUGCGUCUCCUGUAAAGGAACAACACCUCUGGGCUCUCUCUUACCAUUUCAAAGAGCACAGGCAUAUGCCGCAAUUAUAUAGUGCUGCUGAGAAAAAAAACAGCAUGUGAGUGAAUCCCUGUUGUUAGCAGAGCAAGUGCUGGGGCUCACACAAGCAAUCCACCAGAGCUCUGCUGCAAAUGGCUACCGCUGCCCUUCCCUUGCUCCUACCCAAUGACUAGAGAUCGCAUCCUGCUCUACUGUUCUCCAGCAGCCUGAGAAAGACCAGGCACAAAAAAAUUGUCAGCCAGAUUGGCCCUGACAUGCAUCAUAUGCUUUUCUGCACCCGUGAACUGCCUGCUUCUCUCACCAGCCUUUCUGUGGUUCAUCCUGAAAAGCAGGUGCGUUAGCAUCUUUGUGUAAAGCUGAGGAGACAAUAAACAGUCAGAUUUGCCAGGUAUAGCUGUUGUUCACUGAGAGGAGGGAUCAGAGGAUUUUCUCUGCACCUCUCUCCUUCUCGCCACCUGUCCUGAAUGUGUCAUACAGUGGCUAUAAAGGACUUCUUGUAAAUAAUUUCCCUGCAGUUGGAAGAUGCCCCAGAGCUCACAUUACUCACACUUGUUAAAGCCGAGCAGAGAGCAGAAUAUCCCUCCACUGUCAUGAGUCUUUGGACUGGCUUUCCUCACACUGUAGCCAGCUAACUCCACAUUUCCAGAUGAAGAAGAUUCUCACAUGUUCCAGAAAGGCUCCUGAGCCCUAUUCCUGCUCCUCCAAGCUACAGAGACUUGUAGGAUGGAGUAAAUCUCCCUUUUUCUACCAUACAGUUUUGGACAUGCUAAAAUUGGUCUAUAAAACUUAGGACUAAUGAUCCAGUUUCCAACUUUAUAUUUCUUUAAUUUAUCUAUGUACAGAUAAGUUAUGGCACUGAGAUCCUUAACUAGUGCAUAUGGAAGCCACAGGCAGUUGUUAGGUGCCUGUGCUGAGUCAAAUGCCUAAAUACUUAAAGGGCAUCUAAGGUGUAUGCUUGUUCAGGUUAAAAUGUGCUCAGCUGCAGAGUCAAACAGCAUCUGGUGCAAUUUAACCUUGAUCACAAGCUGCCUUGUGAGAGAAGGCACUGGUUGCAUUCCUGUUAUUGUGUGCCAAUAAUACUAUAUAACUAAUAAAUAUAUUUCCUCUUACUGGGCUAUUAAGUAGCUAUUUUCCUCUGAGUUUGAUCCUUACUCGGGACACAAAACUUAAGGGCAAAGUGUUAUCAUUGCUAAACAUCAGUGAAGAGAUUACCUUUCUAUAAAGUAAUCUCAUCUCUGCCCUGAGUCAAGAACCUCAGCAUGGCAUUGCACAUCACUCUCCGGUUCUGCCAUCCAGGUUCAAUCUGACUCCUUGCCACUGCCAUUUUGAGUGUAAAAGCACUUCUUGUGAGAACAUAAAUUGGAUCCCCACAGCUACGGGAAAGACACGAGAACCCACUGUGACUGUACAGCCCUGCUCUGCCAUUUUCAUCUCCUACCAAUGUGUCUCCUGAAAAGUACUGCUGCUGCGGGGAGGACAACUGUGGUUCAGACAGAAACAGGAGGAAGACAAAAGGGUGAGGUUUGACAUGAAGAAAUAUUCUCCGGAAGGGGGGAUCCCAGGGACGUCUGCAUGCAAAAAGAUACAAGCCACUGUCUGCAUGAGAACAAGGAAGAUAAUGAGUGGAGUAAGACAAGGAUCAAAGGCAAAGAUAGACCAGACUGCUUGUUUGCCACCCCAGCACCUAGAUGAGCACUGAGGGAGAUCUAGCUUCUGACACGAGGAAUGCAAACUCUACUUGGUCUGUAGUAUCCAGUACAGCCAUAUCUCAUAUGAGGUCAGAAAUCUGAACUUGCUCUAACAAAUGUGCAGAUUAGAAUCAUGGGAAAUUAUAGUAAUAUGCAAGAUGAGUACCUCUGAAUACUAAAUUGAAGCGCACCAUUGGAAUAAUACUAUCAUAACAAAACCCAGUGAAAUGUGCAGCUUUUUGAAUAAUAUCAUUCUCCAAUUUAGAUCCAAGAACAACUUCUCAUUAUCCAGCCCUUCUUCUCAGUACCCCCUGUGAAGAGACGAGCCGGGAAUGUGAAAGAACAAAAAGGCUGAGAUCACAGUGAGCAUAUGCCUGUGGUUGUUUAAGGCUGUUCACAAAUUGGUUAAUAAGCUUUGCGUUAUGGUUUUAUUUUAUUUUAACCUGUUCCAUAUAUCAAGUUUUGUAAUGUACCAUUCAAGUCCAAUUUACAC
This 2623-nucleotide long non-coding RNA is filed under the name Gallus gallus (chicken). RNAcentral's name for it is "lncRNA (ENSGALG00010021855.1)". Lineage: Eukaryota; Metazoa; Chordata; Aves; Galliformes; Phasianidae. The record is from RNAcentral.